AUUUUAAAUGAUCUGUUUUACAGUUCUCUUUAGUGUCCAACACUUGUAACGUCUCAGUACUUAAAAACUAACAGCUUUAUGUGUUUCAUUGUAGGACUAAUUGCUUAAGGAGAGAAUUGUCACAUACCCGAUGGGGGGGGGGGGGGCUGCAGAUCACAGCCUCCAUAGUGACUGAUAGGCUCUUCUUGCAUGGGUAGACAGUGAAGGGACAGAGUGGUGAGUGGGUAAACCUCCCAAUGUGCUAACCAUCAGAGCCUUGCUGGCAUAGAGGUGGCAAUAAUUCACUAUUGGCAUGGAUCCAAUAGCAGAUUAAUUCUUGCCUGGGAGUCAGUUCUUUCCUUGUGCUGUCCCAUCCCAGGAGUAGAACAGCAACGACAUCAUUCCCUCUCUUCCCUCCCCCCCAAUAUAAAAAUGCCUUUUUUUAUGGAGUGUAUUGGCAAAUUUAACAGGGCAACAUUGAAUGUCAUAAAUAUUUUCAUGCUUGAUAUACAAAUCAUUUUAAGGAUCCCUUACUCUGAAAAAUUCCCCCAAGAAAUUUCAAUACAAUCAACUUAAAUGUUUUUUUGUUUUGCAGCAGCCUGUGUUAUAGGGAAAUUCUUUGGUUUUAUGCUCCUGCAUAUUUUGUUUCAGUGCAGCCUGCUGAAAAAGAUGUAAUUUUAAUCAUUUUCAUUGUUGACUAGCACACAGACAACUGACUAUCAUGUUUGUUCUCUGCUUGCUUGCCAAAACUAAAUGAUGAUGAUACUUUGAGCUGAUUUCUUAAAUUUCCUAGAGUUAUAUUGUAAAUUUUCCUUUGUGGGGAUAUUAUCCUCAGUGGUUUUAUUGCUUGAACAGAGCUGAUCAUCAGGAAAUGCAAGGGUAGGACACAUUAAAGGAUUUUAAAACUUUUUCUGCUUUGCAACUGGCUGUUAUAAAAUAAAACAAACAAACCAACCCCCCAAGCAUUCUACAAUAUAAAAGUCAUGUAGUUUCUGAGCAUACUCUGCCAAACCAUUUUUUGUAGCCCUGUGUGUAAGAAGCUUUCCUUGUGACUAACACAGUAAGGUAAAGUGUCAAGGACUUACAUUACGUCAUUCAAGAAUCUUUUUUUUAUGUGCUGUGCUCCAGAGCAAUUAUAAUAUGGAUGCUAUAACAGCACUGGUUAGUUAAAGUUAUCACUUUCACUGAAACUUUGACUUCGGUAGUUUGAAACUGCAGCAUACAGUUUGCCAUCUUGGCUAUAUGAAUUUUUGUAAACAAAAUUUGUUUAACUUUGAGCAGUGUGGAGCUUGAAAAUCUCAAUACAUAUCAUUUUAAAGAAAAGCGUUUUCUUUUUUUUCCUCUGACUGGUGUAAACUGAAAUGUACUAUCCUCAGAACAGAUGCAGCUGUGUCAUUGCAAUGCUUACGUACAGUGUAUACCGCUUUAUUUUUCUCAAAAUAGUAGAAAUGAUGAGUAGGUAAAUAUUAGGUUUAUGUUGAGGUUAGUUUUUAAGACAUUUUUGGUCUAGCACUUUUAUUUUAAAGUUUUUAUGGAAAGAAAUAUUUUUUGUUGUGCAACUGUAAAAUAGCCAAAACACACACAAAUGACUUGGAUAAUUGCCAUUUAAAACUAUAUAUGAGAACAAUUGUGACUGUCAAUGUAUGCCACAAAGGUCAAUAUUGUGUAGUUUGAAAUGGAAGGGAGAUUCUUCUUGAAAAUUAGAAAAGAGAAGAACAUUGAUCGCCUCCUCGGAAGAGCAUAGGUAAUACAAUACUGAAAUAAACAAUUUGUUUUUCAAAAUGCCACUUUUGAAAAAUCAAAACAGAAUUUAUGCAAGUUUUGGUUUUUAGGGGCAAAGGUAAUUGUCUGGUUAUUGGUGCAGAGAUGAUUUUUCUUGAGGAGAGAAAAUAGCUUAGAGGACUGAAUAGAGUGACAUCUUAAAGAUUAGUUGAUUAAUUGUACUUGUGAUGACAAAGCAGAAGUGAGAAGUGAAGCAGAGACUAUAAGAGCGUCAGAGCUGAUAGGGUGAGUGGUAUUGAGGAUGGCAAAUGGCAUCAGGAUCUUUGAGAAAUAUGGAUGAUUACCCUGAUGGGUUUUGUCAGCUGAUGGACUCUAAUAUUGAGUCAUGAAGGCUUUAUUCCCCUUUGAAAUCUGAUUCUAAUACAAUGGAAUAAUGCCUUUUUCUUAAUUUCUCACCUGCUACAUAAAAUUAAUCAGCUCCAAAACUACUUGAAGUAACAGAGAGAGCUAUAAGUCUGUAGUGUCAGUCUCUUUUGUCUGAGAUCUGCAGUGUUUUACAUAUUACGUACAAUUCUCAUGAUCUUAAUAAAACAGGUUUAGUGUAAAUUUGAAACCUAUUGUAUUUUUCUCUGUGUAGGAGAUGGAAAAUGGAGACAGCACAUUUGUUUCUGCAAUGAGUUAUGAUGGCAGUGUACUGUGUUGAACACCCAUGCUACUAACUACAUGAAUGGACUUACUACUAAAAGUUUGUGUGUGUGUGGUAUAUUGAUGAGGUAGUGACUCUAUAGUAGUUGAAAUGGAAAUUGCACUUUGAUUAUUUUUUUCAUAUAAAUUUCUAAAAACAUUAACCAUUGCAUUCAGAUUCUUCAUGCUUAGUUUCAACCCACAAAUAAUGGGUUUCUUUUAAAAAAUAAAUAAAUAAAUUUAAAAAAAUAUCCAGACUUCAGGAAUUAUUUGAAUUUGAAGUAUAGCUUUUAAAAAAAAUUAUUAAACUUCCGAGGUGGCAAAAAUUAAUGACAGAAUUGUUACUAAGCUAUUCAACACAUGGAUACCCAUUAUUGAUCUACUUCUGGACCUGCUCAACUCUGUAACUACUUAAACAGUUUGGAUUGAGGACUAGUGUCUCUGCUUGCUUGACUAACUUGUUUUUAAGUAACUUCUAGAGGUUUGAAAACAAUAGUGUGCAUUAGUAAUACAUUAUUUUCCUUAAUGUCAGAAAGAUGUACUAAGCUACGGUACUCAAAAUGUAUGAUUAUUCUAGAAGAAUUAUGCAAGUGAUGUGGAU
Long non-coding RNA from Dermochelys coriacea (leatherback sea turtle), 2986 nucleotides. RefSeq lists it as uncharacterized. Lineage: Eukaryota; Metazoa; Chordata; Testudines; Dermochelyidae. The transcript has 2 exons. The record is from RefSeq and is a predicted model, not a curated record.